This 159-nucleotide small RNA is filed under the name Staphylococcus aureus. Its description in RNAcentral is "HMPRFS0000_2511". The record is from RNAcentral. Lineage: Bacteria; Bacillati; Bacillota; Bacilli; Caryophanales; Staphylococcaceae.
UGGCGAUAAUAUUUUGCUACUUCCCCAAAAUAUUUUGGUUCUACAGGAUCGAUUUCAAAGUGCUGCUCUAUCAUUGUAAGCAUUUCAUCUUUAGUUACAACUUUACUGAAAUCCCAUCCAUUAUCAUUACCAACAUCCAUAAAUUCUAUAAAUCGAAUC